Molecule: ribosomal RNA, 483 nt
Filed under: uncultured bacterium
Lineage: Bacteria
Description: partial 16S ribosomal RNA
Rfam family: Bacterial small subunit ribosomal RNA
Source: RNAcentral
UUGAACGCUGGCGGCAGGCCUAACACAUGCCCGUCGAGCGGAUGAAGGGAGCUUGCUCCUGGAUUCAGCGGCGGACGGGUGAGUAAUGCCUAGGAAUCUGCCUGGUAGUGGGGGAUAACGUCCGGAAACGGGCGCUAAUACCGCAUACGUCCUGAGGGAGAAAGUGGGGGAUCUUCGGACCUCACGCUAUCAGAUGAGCCUAGGUCGGAUUAGCUAGUUGGUGGGGUAAAGGCCUACCAAGGCGACGAUCCGUAACUGGUCUGAGAGGAUGAUCAGUCACACUGGAACUGAGACACGGUCCAGACUCCUACGGGAGGCAGCAGUGGGGAAUAUUGGACAAUGGGCGAAAGCCUGAUCCAGCCAUGCCGCGUGUGUGAAGAAGGUCUUCGGAUUGUAAAGCACUUUAAGUUGGGAGGAAGGGCAGUAAGUUAAUACCCUGCUGUUUUGACGUUACCAACAGAAUAAGCACCGGCUAACUUCGUG